Molecule: ribosomal RNA, 1057 nt
Filed under: Staphylococcus sp.
Lineage: Bacteria; Bacillati; Bacillota; Bacilli; Caryophanales; Staphylococcaceae
Description: bacterial SSU rRNA
Rfam family: Bacterial small subunit ribosomal RNA
Source: RNAcentral
UCGAGCGAACAGACGAGGAGCUUGCUCCUCUGACGUUAGCGGCGGACGGGUGAGUAACACGUGGAUAACCUACCUAUAAGACUGGGAUAACUUCGGGAAACCGGAGCUAAUACCGGAUAAUAUAUUGAACCGCAUGGUUCAAUAGUGAAAGACGGUUUUGCUGUCACUUAUAGAUGGAUCCGCGCCGCAUUAGCUAGUUGGUAAGGUAACGGCUUACCAAGGCAACGAUGCGUAGCCGACCUGAGAGGGUGAUCGGCCACACUGGAACUGAGACACGGUCCAGACUCCUACGGGAGGCAGCAGUAGGGAAUCUUCCGCAAUGGGCGAAAGCCUGACGGAGCAACGCCGCGUGAGUGAUGAAGGUCUUCGGAUCGUAAAACUCUGUUAUUAGGGAAGAACAAAUGUGUAAGUAACUAUGCACGUCUUGACGGUACCUAAUCAGAAAGCCACGGCUAACUACGUGCCAGCAGCCGCGGUAAUACGUAGGUGGCAAGCGUUAUCCGGAAUUAUUGGGCGUAAAGCGCGCGUAGGCGGUUUUUUAAGUCUGAUGUGAAAGCCCACGGCUCAACCGUGGAGGGUCAUUGGAAACUGGAAAACUUGAGUGCAGAAGAGGAAAGUGGAAUUCCAUGUGUAGCGGUGAAAUGCGCAGAGAUAUGGAGGAACACCAGUGGCGAAGGCGACUUUCUGGUCUGUAACUGACGCUGAUGUGCGAAAGCGUGGGGAUCAAACAGGAUUAGAUACCCUGGUAGUCCACGCCGUAAACGAUGAGUGCUAAGUGUUAGGGGGUUUCCGCCCCUUAGUGCUGCAGCUAACGCAUUAAGCACUCCGCCUGGGGAGUACGACCGCAAGGUUGAAACUCAAAGGAAUUGACGGGGACCCGCACAAGCGGUGGGAGCAUGUGGUUUAAUUCGAAGCAACGCGAAGAACCUUACCAAAUCUUGACAUCCUCUGACCCUCUAGAGAUAGAGUUUUCCCCUUUCGGGGGACAGAGUGACAGGUGGUGCAUGGGUUGUCGUCAGCUCGUGUCGUGAGAUGUGGGGUAAGUCCCGCACGGAGC